Molecule: ribosomal RNA, 233 nt
Filed under: Planococcaceae bacterium Storch 2/2-2
Lineage: Bacteria; Bacillati; Bacillota; Bacilli; Caryophanales; Caryophanaceae
Description: partial 23S ribosomal RNA
Rfam family: Bacterial large subunit ribosomal RNA
Source: RNAcentral
UUAGGUUAAGUUAGGAAGGGCGCAUGGCGGAUGCCUUGGCACUAGAAGCCGAUGAAGGACGGAACUAACACCGAUAUGCUACGGGGAGCUGUAAGUAAGCGUUGAUCCGUAGAUUUCCGAAUGGGGAAACCCACUAUUCUUAAUUGGAUAGUACAUGACUCGUGAAUACAUAGCGUGCAUGUGGCAGACCCGGAGAACUGAAACAUCUAAGUACCCGGAGGAAGAGAAAGAAA